This is a long non-coding RNA of Thalassophryne amazonica, 232 nucleotides long. RefSeq lists it as uncharacterized. The transcript is spliced from 3 exons. The record is from RefSeq and is a predicted model, not a curated record. NCBI's taxonomy places the organism in Eukaryota, Metazoa, Chordata, Actinopteri, Batrachoidiformes, Batrachoididae.
AGAGCAAGAGCAACACAACUAUAACUUAUUGUAUGCAUUUCCCCCUAAAAAGACAAAAAGUAGUCUUUCAGUGCAGUAACUGUGCCUAAAACCUUUGAACAGUACUUGAUAAAGAAUUCCUGAUCUCAGGUUGGGAAUCUUCCUCUCGCAGUGCAUCAGACAGAUUUCACUUGCACACAGUAGUGAUGUGAAUGAAGAAAUAUGCAGUUCCAAACAGUGCCAAUAAAAAAAA